GACGAACGCUGGCGGCGUGCUUAACACAUGCAAGUCGAACGGGUCUGCCCUGUUUUUUGCGGGGUGGGUCAGUGGCGAACGGGUGAGUAACACGUGAGUAACCUGCCCCUCACUUCUGGAUAACCGCUUGAAAGGGUGGCUAAUACGGGGUGUUCUGGCUGUGCCGCAUGGUGUGGCUGGGAAAGAUUCACUUUUGUGGUGUUUUGGUGGGGGGUGGGCUCGCGGCCUAUCAGCUUGUUGGUGGGGUGAUGGCCUGCCAAGGCUUUGACGGGUAGCCGGCCUGAGAGGGUGGGCGGUCACACUGGGACUGAGAUACGGCCCAGACUCCUGCGGGAGGCAGCAGUGGGGGGUAUUGCACAAUGGGCGGAAGCCUGAUGCAGCGACGUCGCGUGAGGGAUGGAGGCCUUCGGGUUGUGAACCUCUUUCGCCGGUGAAGAAGGUCCUGCUCUUUGUGGUGGGGUUGACGGUAGCCGGGUUAUGAAGCGCCGGCUAACUACGUG
Molecule: ribosomal RNA, 500 nt
Filed under: uncultured bacterium
Lineage: Bacteria
Description: partial 16S ribosomal RNA
Rfam family: Bacterial small subunit ribosomal RNA
Source: RNAcentral